CCAGGACAAGAUGGCUGCAUAGAGC
Molecule: non-coding RNA, 25 nt
Filed under: Rattus norvegicus (Norway rat)
Lineage: Eukaryota; Metazoa; Chordata; Mammalia; Rodentia; Muridae
Source: RNAcentral